CUUCCUGCUUGAUGUGGCCCUGCGCUCUCACCUGCAUGGCCAAGGCCAUUUCUUCUUUCUCUUUAGGCGAGAAGAACCGUCCCCCAUCACCACGCUUCCUCUGCAUGGCGUGUUUGUGACGUGACUCAUGAAGGUAUUUUGCCCUCAGCCUCCAGUUUGGCGCGGGCUUGCCGUCUUUUUAAGAUGCGAUGAUAUUGCUUGGCAUUAACAUACAGGGGCUCCUCUUCAAGCAUCUCGGCUCCUGGCAGAGGGAUUCGUUGUAUAGCUGGCAUAGCACCACCACCUGGCACCAUCUGGCAGAGCAGGCACCAGCCAAAGUAAUAUGGACGGAAAUCUUGAAGAAAUACUAGCGUGAGAAAAGAACACCCACAGAACAUAAUUUGAGUGGAUCAUUUGCAAUGAGACGGCUGGCGGAUAUCAAGCAUACAUUUUAAUCAGUGCUAAAUAUUAACACACACAGUGAAGGAAGGUUGCAGGUUUCAACAUGUUUCUGAGUAAAUCAUCAAAUUCUAGGAAGAUUUCUGAAACUAGGAAUUUUCCAAAUUUGAAGAAACCAAACUCUCAGUUAUAUAAUAAGAAAAAUGAUUGAUGUGCAUCUUUUUACUUUCAGCAGGCUAGAUCUAUAUGUGAAAUGGUACCUCAUCAGGAGGCCUUACCAUGACCAUUCCCCCAGUGUUCACCAUGUUUCCAGAUACUGGCAGGGUAACGGUGACUGUGCCCUGCCCACUGUUGGUUGUGGAAGUGUUAGUGGUGCCUGCUGCCUGGACGAUUUGAGUUCCUGCCAGAGUGCCUGCUGGGAUUGUGAUCAUGCCUAUGGAAGAGAGAGAGAACAACAAUUCCCAACCUGAAUAACCUUGAAUGCUGUUCAUCUUUUUUUUGAGGAGGGAUUUGUUUAUGUUUGAAAAAAAUACUACUACUUGUUCUAAAAGGUUAUAGUUAAAUGUAUAAAUCACCCAAAAAUUAUAAGUCUAUCAUAACUUAAGACACCCUUUUGUUUAAACUUGCUUAAAUGUUUAGCUUUAGUGGAACACUAAGGACAUGAUAGGCAGUAUGUUCGCCUAUAUUUGCUUUUAUUGCAUCCCCCCCCCCAUACAAUGGCUGUCAUUCUGCCUACCAUCUCCCUUUUGAGUUCAACAGGAAGUCAUAAAGAUUUGAAACAUUAUGAGGGUGAUUAAAUGAUGGCAGAAUUGUAUUUUUGGGUGAACUCUCUCAUUCAAAUCUGAUAACUCUGAACAUAUGAUAAGCCAGGUGUUAGUAGGCUACGUUCUAUGUAU
Long non-coding RNA from Xyrauchen texanus (razorback sucker), 1274 nucleotides. RefSeq lists it as uncharacterized. The record is from RefSeq and is a predicted model, not a curated record. The transcript has 4 exons. Lineage: Eukaryota; Metazoa; Chordata; Actinopteri; Cypriniformes; Catostomidae.